RNAcentral lists this long non-coding RNA (1016 nucleotides) under Equus asinus (donkey). RNAcentral's name for it is "lncRNA (ENSEASG00005028961.1)". The record is from RNAcentral. Lineage: Eukaryota; Metazoa; Chordata; Mammalia; Perissodactyla; Equidae.
GAACAAACACAGAUCAAGCCCGAAGCCUCGAGACUUUACCAGCAAUCAUUUACAGAUUACGGCAAGCUGCAGUCCUCCGCUCCUGUGGGGCAUUCCCAGACUUUGCUUUCAGGAGACUGGUUAGGCUGCUUUCUACCCGUUUUCGUGGUUCGGGUUCUGGGACACUAGCAUCGGGCUUACAGCUUCUCUCAGAGGCUGUAACUACAUGACGGUUAGGAUUUGUUUUUUAAAAAUAAUUUGGAACCCGGCUGCUAACAAGCUAGAAUUUACUGUGUGUUUUCUGGCAGAGAUUUUGCUACACUGCUUUUUUUUUUUCGCCCCAGCUUGCUUUCUUGUGUUUUUAAAUAACCUGGAGCGGGGAGUUGUAGCAUCUCUCUAAACAUCAAGAGAAAAGGGUGUGGACUUUUCUCUCUCAACUUGCAUACCUCUCGUCCCUUAUUUAAAACUGAACAUGCUUUCAAUAAUCAUCUGAAACCGUGCAUGGCAGAUGCUAAGAAAUAGCAAGAGCAGGAUUGUUGUCCUGGAGCAUCCAUAGUUCGUCUGCUUUCUGUGCUGAUAGAGAAAUCUGAGUUUUAGAGGGAAGUCAAACACAACUGCCGAAUUUUCAGCCAAUGAAACCAUGUCAACAUCUGCUCAUGGACAGGAAGUGCCUGACCAGGAACAUGGCCGUGGAGUCACUACAAGGAAAAGAUAAGCCUUCCGUCAUUACUGCCAAAGGGAAAACCAGCAGACCUAAGUGGGAUUAAAGAGUGCAACAAAUUCACUUGAAGGCACAGAUUUAAAUACUUAAUAACUUGUUAACGUAAUUCAAAGGGGUAGCCACAAGAAACAAAAAUAUUGAUUGCUUAUUAAUUGAUUGUAUUAAGUGUUUAUUUGGCAAUCAGAUGACCCAUUAGCGUGCCAAAGCAUUUUUCUAUUUGUCUUCUAGGUAAGGCAGUGCUUCUCACCAUGGUGAAGGACCACGUUUCUUUCUCUUUUCUGUUUUUUAAAUUUCCAAUACAUUAUGAACCAAUACU